AAAAAAAAAAAACAAAAAAAAAAAAAAACAAAACAAAAAAAAAAAAAAAAAAAAAAAAAAAAAAAAAAAAAAAAAAAAAAAAAAAAAAAAAAAAAAAAAAAAAAAAACAAAAAAAAAAAAAAAAAAAAAAAAAAAAAAAAAAAAAAAAAAAAAAAAAAAAAAAAAAAACAAAAAAAAAAAAAAAAAAAAAAAAAAAAAAAAAAAAACAAG
RNAcentral lists this long non-coding RNA (210 nucleotides) under Gallus gallus (chicken). The record is from RNAcentral. Lineage: Eukaryota; Metazoa; Chordata; Aves; Galliformes; Phasianidae.